AACGUAGGACGCAAGCGUUAUCCGGAGUUACUGGGCGUAAAGCGCGGGCAGGCGGUUGGUCAAGUCUGAUGUGAAAUCUCCUCGCUCAACGGGGAGCAGCCAUUGGAAACUGGGCAACUGGAGUCUGGCAGAGGUAGGCGGAAUUCCGGGUGGAGUGGUGAAAUGCGUAGAGAUCCGGAGGAACACCAGAGGCGAAGGCGGCCUACUGGGCAAGUACUGACGCUGAGCCGCGAAAGCCAGGGGAGCAAACGGG
Molecule: ribosomal RNA, 253 nt
Filed under: uncultured bacterium
Lineage: Bacteria
Description: partial 16S ribosomal RNA
Rfam family: Bacterial small subunit ribosomal RNA
Source: RNAcentral